Molecule: long non-coding RNA, 294 nt
Organism: Sitophilus oryzae (rice weevil)
Lineage: Eukaryota; Metazoa; Arthropoda; Insecta; Coleoptera; Curculionidae
Exons: 2
Source: RefSeq, a predicted model, not a curated record
UCAGUUUUUUCGUCCCUCGCGAAGAAACAUAAACAGUAUUUGUGAAAUUUGGAUUAGAAACUAUUAUUUUAUUAGUUUAUUUUGUUGUGUUUAAGUGUUGUGUAUUUGUACCUACUGGAUAAUAUUUUCCAACAUAUUUAAUUAAGCAAAAAGCAUCUGUUUUACAGGUGUGACUGCUAAGUGGUCGUACUCGCCACUUUAACCAAGCAUUGGUGGGACCUUCAGAGAUCAUAAUGCGAAUUUCUUCAUACCAUGUAAAUCUAUAUACAUGUAUUAAUAAAUGCGUUUGCUUUA